CGAUAAGACGCGCGUGUUCAACAUCAUGCAAGCAUGUGGAAUGGUUAAGUGGUUAAAUGCUUGAUAAGUGAAAUGACAGCUUUAUUGCCUUUACGCCUACGCAGGUCAAUUCAGUUAAAAUUAAAAAUGAUGCACCGUCUAGUAUUUCUCGCACUUAUAUCAUCAGAAAAAACGCCAAAGGUAAUUACAUUUCAGUGUUGAAAUUUUUGUAUAUGCAACAGUUUCAUCAAAGGAGCG
RNAcentral lists this long non-coding RNA (237 nucleotides) under Mytilus galloprovincialis (Mediterranean mussel). Lineage: Eukaryota; Metazoa; Mollusca; Bivalvia; Mytilida; Mytilidae. The record is from RNAcentral.